UUUUUUUUUUACAAAAAUGGGAAGGAGUUUCAAGAAAACAUGGCAGGUUGCUUCACUACCAAAAACCAACUGUAAGAAAAAAUAUAACAGCAAUGGGGAAAAUAAAAGACAGAAAGACUCCUGAGCUUGUUCUGGCUUUGAACAGACGCAUUUAAGGAUAAGAAAAAUUCAUCAGUGAUCAAAUUUUGAAAGAGAUGAAAGAUAACCUUUGGAUGCAGACUCUUGCUCAGAAGAGAUGUUGUUUUUGAUAUUUUUCAUUCAUGCGGUGGAUGCAUAUUUAAAGUGUCGGACCAAGUUAUCAUCAACUGCUUUUCACACACAGACGGUGACAGACCUAAAUGUUUUUUUACAAUCACUCAAGCUCUCUCUCCACU
This 374-nucleotide long non-coding RNA is filed under the name Mytilus galloprovincialis (Mediterranean mussel). The record is from RNAcentral. Lineage: Eukaryota; Metazoa; Mollusca; Bivalvia; Mytilida; Mytilidae.